RNAcentral lists this ribosomal RNA (253 nucleotides) under uncultured bacterium. Its description in RNAcentral is "partial 16S ribosomal RNA". It matches the Rfam family "Bacterial small subunit ribosomal RNA", at positions 524 to 776 of the family's 1533-position model. The record is from RNAcentral.
UACGGAGGGAGCUAGCGUUGUUCGGAAUUACUGGGCGUAAAGCGCACGUAGGCGGCUUUGUAAGUUAGAGGUGAAAGCCCAGGGCUCAACCCUGGAAUUGCCUUUAAGACUGCAUCGCUUGAACAUCGGAGAGGUAAGUGGAAUUCCGAGUGUAGAGGUGAAAUUCGUAGAUAUUCGGAAGAACACCAGUGGCGAAGGCGACUUACUGGACGAUUGUUGACGCUGAGGUGCGAAAGCGUGGGGAUCAAACAGG